Molecule: ribosomal RNA, 416 nt
Filed under: uncultured bacterium
Lineage: Bacteria
Description: bacterial SSU rRNA
Rfam family: Bacterial small subunit ribosomal RNA
Source: RNAcentral
CAGUAGGGAAUAUUGCACAAUGGAGGAAACUCUGAUGCAGCGACGCCGCGUGAGUGAUGAAGGCCUUCGGGUCGUAAAGCUCUGUCGCAGGGGAAUAACACAAUGAAUGUACCCUGUAAGAAAGGAUCGGCUAACUUCGUGCCAGCAGCCGCGGUAAGACGAGGGAUCCUAGCGUUGUUCGGAAUUAUUGGGCGUAAAGCGGGUGCAGGUGGCUUUGUAAGUCAGGUGUGAAAGCCCAGGGCUCAACCCUGGAAGUGCACUUGAUACUGCGAAGCUUGAGUGUAGGAGAGGUUACUAGAAUUCUUGGUGUAGUGGUGAAAUACGUAGAUAUCAAGAGGAAUACCGGUGGCGAAGGCGGGUAACUGGCCUAACACUGACACUCAGACCCGAAAGCGUGGGGAUCAAACAGGAUUAGA